AGAGUUUGAUCCUGGCUCAGAACGAACGCUGGCGGCAGGCCUAACACAUGCAAGUCGAGCGCUGUAGCAAUACAGAGCGGCGCACGGGUGAGUAACACGUGGGAACGUGCCCUAUGGUUCGGAAUAACUCAGGGNAAACUUGAGCUAAUACCGGAUAAGCCCUUCGGGGGAAAGAUUUAUCGCCAUUGGAGCGGCCCGCGUUGGAUUAGCUAGUUGGUGGGGUAAUGGCCUACCAAGGCUGCGAUCCAUAGCUGGUUUGAGAGAACGACCAGCCACACUGGGACUGAGACACGGCCCAGACUCCUACGGGAGGCAGCAGUGGGGAAUCUUGGACAAUGGGGGAAACCCUGAUCCAGCCAUGCCGCGUGAGUGAUGAAGGCCCUAGGGUUGUAAAACUCUUUCGGCGGGGACGAUAAUGACGGUACCCGCAGAAGAAGCUCCGGCUAACUUCGUGCCAGCAGCCGCGGUAAUACGAAGGGGGCUAGCGUUGUUCGGAAUUACUGGGCGUAAAGCGCGCGCAGGCGGUCCUUCAAGUCAGGGGUGAAAGCCCAGGGCUCAACCCUGGAAUGGCCUUUGAGACUAGAGGACUUGGGGUACGGGAGAGGUGAGUGGAAUUCCGAGUGUAGAGGUGAAAUUCGUAGAUAUUCGGAAGAACACCAGUGGCGAAGGCGGCUCACUGGCCCGUUACCGACGCUCAGGCGCGAUAGCGUGG
RNAcentral lists this ribosomal RNA (712 nucleotides) under uncultured bacterium. RNAcentral describes it as "bacterial SSU rRNA". It matches the Rfam family "Bacterial small subunit ribosomal RNA", at positions 8 to 764 of the family's 1533-position model. The record is from RNAcentral.